AUGGAAAAAGUGAAGGGUCCGAAAGAAAUUUGGGAUGCUGCGGCUCAUUCCAUUUAUAUGGAUGUGUGCGUAGAGGAGGUGCGAGCCAAUAACCGCGCUCCAGGACACACCACUUUGUCUGAUGUAGGCCAAGUUAAUUUGCUUACUAAGUUUAAUGAGCGCUCCGGGAGAAAUUAUCCGCACCAACAAUUAAGAAACCGGUGGGAUGCAUGUAGAAGUGAUUAUGCCAUAUGGAAGACAUUGCUUCAAAAAGCUUCACGCAUCGGAAGAGAUCCUUAUACAAAGACCAUUGCUGCUACGGAUGAGUGGUGUGCAUUGGAGUUGAAGGCACGUCCGCAGGCUACCAAGUAUCGGCAUGCUCCACUUGCAGAGGAGGACAAAAUGGAGGAGGUGUUUGAUGCUUGUUGUGUCACAAACGAGCAUGCGAGAGUGCCAAUUCCCACAUAUCAAGGUUCUACAUCUCGAAUCAAUUUGGAUGAUGAGUCUGGUUGUGAAGGUGACAAAACUGAAGUUACACCUCGUGCGAAUCGUGCAAAGGGUGGGAAGAAGAGGGCAUUUCCUUAUUCCCCAAGUCCUAAGGCAAAUGAAAAGUGGGCAAGUGAGCAGGCAAAGAAUGAGGCAUUUGUUCGUAUGGUGGACCUCUUUGAUUCAAGGAACAAGAGAGAUGAGACUCAAGUUUCAGCAAGAGAAGAGAUUCAUGAAAUGAUGGCCAUGGUAGAAGCAGAUGGUGGUGCACCUGGGAGUGAUGUUCAUUUCUAUGCUUCACAACUAUUCAAGGAUUAG
This 783-nucleotide ribosomal RNA is filed under the name Triticum aestivum (bread wheat). RNAcentral describes it as "partial small subunit ribosomal RNA". The record is from RNAcentral. Lineage: Eukaryota; Viridiplantae; Streptophyta; Magnoliopsida; Poales; Poaceae.